CUGUAAUUACCAAGAUAGGCCAGAUACUCAACCAAUUUGAUACUAGUACAUUUGAAAGUAGGUUAAUAACUAAUUUUUAAAAUUUCACCGAAAUCACUGACCAAAUAAAUUUUAAUUAGGCUCAUGUAAAGUAUAAACAACCCAAAGGGUUUCUGCUGUAAUUACCAAGAUAGGCCAGAUACUCAACCAAUUUGAUACUAGUACAUUUGAAAGUAGGUUAAUAACUAAUUUUUAAAAUUUCACCGAAAUCACUGACCAAAUAAAUUUUAAUUAGGCUCAUGUAAAGUAUAAACAACCCAAACACACCCUGAACUUAUUCUCAAAGAUGGCUCAUUUGGAUACGACUUGCAUGGUUCUUUGCAGAAGGCAUAAAAGAAGCGGGACAGCUUCACACUGGACUAAUGGGGAGGGCUCGCAAGUGAAG
This 424-nucleotide long non-coding RNA is filed under the name Elaeis guineensis (African oil palm). RNAcentral describes it as "long non-coding RNA (EGUI_LNC045866)". The record is from RNAcentral. Lineage: Eukaryota; Viridiplantae; Streptophyta; Magnoliopsida; Arecales; Arecaceae.